UUUGGCGUCUCAGUGUGAAAGUCGACCACCUAUCCGACCCGUCUUGAAACACGGACCAAGGAGUUUAGCAUAUACGCAAGUCAUUGGGUGGAAAACCUAAAGGCGUAAUGAAAGUAAAGAUUGCUUUAAUGCAAUUAAUAUGGGAUCUACAUUAAAAAGACGUAAGUUGGAUUAAUGUAGCGCACCAUAGUCCCGUUGCGGCGUUGUCGGCAAAGAAGUUAGGAACAAGAAAAUG
This 235-nucleotide ribosomal RNA is filed under the name Thelandros scleratus. RNAcentral describes it as "partial large subunit ribosomal RNA". It matches the Rfam family "Eukaryotic large subunit ribosomal RNA", at positions 611 to 791 of the family's 3401-position model. Lineage: Eukaryota; Metazoa; Nematoda; Chromadorea; Rhabditida; Pharyngodonidae. The record is from RNAcentral.